RNAcentral lists this transfer RNA (74 nucleotides) under Hungatella hathewayi. RNAcentral's name for it is "tRNA-His(gtg)". It matches the Rfam family "tRNA". From Rfam's summary of the family: Transfer RNA (tRNA) molecules are approximately 80 nucleotides in length. Their secondary structure includes four short double-helical elements and three loops (D, anti-codon, and T loops). Further hydrogen bonds mediate the characteristic L-shaped molecular structure. tRNAs have two regions of fundamental functional importance: the anti-codon, which is responsible for specific mRNA codon recognition, and the 3' end, to which the tRNAs corresponding amino acid is attached (by aminoacyl-tRNA synthetases). tRNAs cope with the degeneracy of the genetic code in two manners: having more than one tRNA (with a specific anti-codon) for a particular amino acid; and 'wobble' base-pairing, i.e. permitting non-standard base-pairing at the 3rd anti-codon position. The record is from RNAcentral. Lineage: Bacteria; Bacillati; Bacillota; Clostridia; Lachnospirales; Lachnospiraceae.
GUGGCUGUGGCAGACCUGGUAAUGCACCGGAUUGUGGUUCCGGUUCAUGCGGGUUCGAAUCCCGCCGGCCGCCC